AGAUAUGCAGAUGUAAAAUAAGCACAUGAAAAGCUCCACACCACAUGUCAUUAAGGAAGCCCAAAUUAAAACAUUGAAAUACCAUUACACACCUAUUAGGUCCAAAUCCAAAACACUGACAACACCAAAUGCUGGCAAUAAUGUGGAGCACCAAGAAGUCUCAUUCAUUGCUCAUGGGAAUGCAAAAUGGUACAGCCACUUCAGCAGUUUGGCAGUUCCUUACAAAAGUAAACAUAUUCUUAUCAUACAUACUUAAUCUUCUGGUAUUUGCCCAAAGGAAUAAAAAACUUAUGUACACACAAAAAUAUGCGCCUAGAUUUUUACAGCAGUCCUGUUCAUAAGGGCCAAAACCCAGAAGCUGUCAAAUGUCCUUCAGUAGGUGAAUGGAUAAACAAAUUGAUCUGUCUAGAUAAUGGAAUGUUAGCACUAAAAAGGAAUGAGCUAUCAAGCCAUGAAAAAGCAUGAAGGAACUUUAAGUGUACAUUGCUAAGCAAAGUUGAUAGUGAAUUUUGGAUGAUAAUGAUGCGUCAACAUAGGUUCAUCAGUUGUAACAAAUGUAUCACUUCAUUGGGGAAUGUUGAUAAUGGGAAAGGCUAUGCAUGUGUACAGGCAGAGAGUAGAUGAGAAAUCUGUAUUUUCCACUCAGUUUUGCUGUGAAUCUCUAAAACUACACACACAAUAAAGUCUAUAAAGACAAAAAGAAGAGCACCUGGGUAGCUCGGUCAAGUGUCAACCCUUGAUUUUGGCUCAGGUCAUGAAUGAUCUCCAGGUCAUGGGAUGGAGCCUAUGCUUAGUGUGGAGUGUGCUUGGGAUUCUCUCUCUCCUUCUUCUGCCCUACCCCACUCACAUGCUCUCCCUCUGGGAAAAAAAAAAAAAAAAGAAUGGAGACCUAGUCCAAAGUCUAUAUAUGUUCCUAAGAAUAAAAUACUUAGGAAUAAAUUUAACAAAAUAAGUGCAAAAUACAUACUCUGAAAACUAAAAACAAUGCUGUAAGAAAUUAAGGAAAAUGUAAAUAAAUGGAAAACCAACCUAUUUUCAUGGAUCAAAAAACUUUGUCAAGAUGGCAAUUCUCUCCAAACUGAUCUACAGAUUCAACAUAAUCCCUAUCAGAAUCCUGUCUGACUUUUUAGAAAUUAACAAACUGAAAAUAAAAUUUAUAUGGAAUUGCAAGGGACCAGGAAUAGCCAAUACCAUUCUUAAAAAGAAGUUCAAAGUAGGACUUAACUAGUUUCAGUUUCAAAAACAAUUACAAAACGAUAGUAAACAAAACAAAGUGGUACUGCUAUAAGGAUAGUCAAAUAAGUCAAUGGAAUUGAAUUGAGAGACAAAAAUUUUUAAAAACAAAAAAUGCAUGUAUGGCCAAUUUAUUUUUAUUUUAAUUUUUGAAGAUUUUAUUUGUUUGAGAGAGAGAGAGAGUGAGCACUUGUCAGGGGGCAGGGAAAGGGCAGAGGGAGAAGGAGAAGCAGGCUCCCCAUUGAGCCUGAUGCAAGGUUUGAUCCCAGCACCCCAGGAUUAUGACCUGAAGAACUAAAAGCAAAUGCUUGUUUUUUGACAAGGGUGCCAAGACCACUCAAUGGGGAGAAAUGGUCUUUUUAACAAAAGAUUUUUCAGGGACGCCUGGAUGGCUCAGUGGUUGAGUGUCUGCCUUUGGCUCAGGGCAUGAUCCUGAAGUCCCUGGAUUGAGUCCCACAUUGGACUCCCUGCAGGGAGCCUGCUUCUUCCUCUUCCUAUGUCUCUGCCUGUCUCUCUGUGUCUCAUGAAUAAAUAAAUAAACUCUUAAAAAAAAAAAGAUUUUUCAAACAACUAAUACCAACAUGCAUCCAAAACAAUUAAUUUGAAUCCCUACCUCACGCUGUAUACAGAAAUUAACCCCCCAAAAGAACUGAAGAACCGUACAGCUAAAACUGUAAAACUCUCAGAAGAAAAUAUAGGUGUAAAUCUCUGCGGCCUUGUAUUAGGCAGUGUUUUUGUUGCUAUGACAUCAAGUAACAAAAGAAAAAGAUAAAGUGGACUUCUUCAAAAUUAAAAAUUUUUGUACU
Molecule: long non-coding RNA, 2039 nt
Filed under: Canis lupus familiaris (dog)
Lineage: Eukaryota; Metazoa; Chordata; Mammalia; Carnivora; Canidae
Description: lncRNA (ENSCAFG00000055365.1)
Source: RNAcentral